Molecule: ribosomal RNA, 543 nt
Filed under: Salmonella enterica subsp. enterica serovar Enteritidis
Lineage: Bacteria; Pseudomonadati; Pseudomonadota; Gammaproteobacteria; Enterobacterales; Enterobacteriaceae
Description: partial 23S ribosomal RNA
Rfam family: Bacterial large subunit ribosomal RNA
Source: RNAcentral
AAUCCAUAGGUUAAUGAGGCGAACCGGGGGAACUGAAACAUCUAAGUACCCCGAGGAAAAGAAAUCAACCGAGAUUCCCCCAGUAGCGGCGAGCGAACGGGGAGGAGCCCAGAGCCUGAAUCAGCAUGUGUGUUAGUGGAAGCGUCUGGAAAGGCGCGCGAUACAGGGUGACAGCCCCGUACACAAAAGCGCAUGUGCUGUGAGCUCGAUGAGUAGGGCGGGACACGUGGUAUCCUGUCUGAAUAUGGGGGGACCAUCCUCCAAGGCUAAAUACUCCUGACUGACCGAUAGUGAACCAGUACCGUGAGGGAAAGGCGAAAAGAACCCCGGCGAGGGGAGUGAAAAAGAACCUGAAACCGUGUACGUACAAGCAGUGGGAGCACCCUUUGGGUGUGACUGCGUACCUUUUGUAUAAUGGGUCAGCGACUUAUAUUCUGUAGCAAGGUUAACCGAAUAGGGGAGCCGGAGGGAAACCGAGUCUUAACCGGGCGUUAAGUUGCAGGGUAUAGACCCGAAACCCGGUGAUCUAGCCAUGGGCAGGUU